GGGGGCGUCACGGUUUCGACGGGGAUACGGAGAUUCGUGCGGCGUGUCGGGGUUUUCUGUGCCCUCGUUAAAACUGCGGAAACUUUACAAUUGCCAACGACAAUGUUGAGCUCGCUCUUGCUGCCUAAUUGGCAGUAAUAGCACCAGAAUCCAAAUAUGCGAUUCCGUCGUUUCAGGUCGUGCCUGUAGGCCUGUCUCGGCGUCAAGUUACAGGAUGGUCAACGGAUAGCCGUGGUUAAAGGCGCUCCCGCGACGAGAUAAAAUUUUAACCACUCAGUCGGCGCCUGUCUUUGGGCCUCCGCCUGUGGAAUCAAACAAAGACUACACACGUAGAAGGGCGAAAUUGAAGAUUUUCGGACGCGGGUUCGACUCCCGCCGCCUCCAUGA
This 387-nucleotide transfer-messenger RNA is filed under the name Pseudomonadota bacterium. Its description in RNAcentral is "Proteobacteria bacterium (gut metagenome) transfer-messenger RNA". It matches the Rfam family "transfer-messenger RNA". Rfam says of the family: Bacterial tmRNA, also known as 10Sa RNA or SsrA, is named for its dual tRNA and mRNA-like properties. The record is from RNAcentral. RNAcentral also lists the same sequence under 1 other name. Lineage: Bacteria; Pseudomonadati; Pseudomonadota.